AGCAGCCGCGGUAAUUCCAGCUCCAAUAGCGUAUAUUAAAGUUGUUGCAGUUAAAAAGCUCGUAGUUGAAUUUCGGAAUCUGUCCGUUGGUCGGGCUUCAUUGUCCGUACUGGUGUGAUGGGUUCUUACCUUCUGAAUAACCAGCAUGCCAUUCAUUUGGUGCGUUGGGGAAGCAGGACUAUUACCUUGAAAAAAUUAGAGUGCUCAAAGCAGGCUAGUGCCUGAAUACAUUAGCAUGGAAUAAUAAAAUAGGACGGCAUGGUUCUAUUUAGUUGGUUUCUAGGAUCACCGUAAUGAUUAAUAGGGAUAGUUGGGGGCAUUAGUAUUCAAUUGUCAGAGGUGAAAUUCUUGGAUUUAUUGAAGACUAACUUCUGCGAAAGCAUUUGCCAAGGAUGUUUUCAUUAAUCAAGGACGAAAGUUAGGGGAUCGAAGACGAUCAGAUACCGUCGUAGUCUUAACCAUAAACUAUGCCGACUAGGGAUCGGACGAUGUUAAUUUUUUAAAGACGNCG
This 511-nucleotide ribosomal RNA is filed under the name uncultured fungus. RNAcentral's name for it is "SSU rRNA". It matches the Rfam family "Eukaryotic small subunit ribosomal RNA", at positions 569 to 1081 of the family's 1831-position model. Lineage: Eukaryota; Fungi. The record is from RNAcentral.